Molecule: ribosomal RNA, 1457 nt
Filed under: uncultured bacterium
Lineage: Bacteria
Description: bacterial SSU rRNA
Rfam family: Bacterial small subunit ribosomal RNA
Source: RNAcentral
AGAGUUUGAUCCUGGCUCAGGAUGAACGCUGGCGGUCUGCUUAACACAUGCAAGUCGAACGGAAUCCUUAGGGAUUUAGUGGCGGACGGGUGAGUAACACGUAAGAACCUGCCUCUAGGACGGGGACAACAGUUGGAAACGACUGCUAAACCCGGAUGAGCCGAAAGGUAAAAGAUUAAUCGCCUAGAGAGGGGCUUGCGUCUGAUUAGCUAGUUGGUGAGGUAAGAGCCCACCAAGGCGACGAUCAGUAGCUGGUCUGAGAGGAUGAUCAGCCACACUGGGACUGAGACACGGCCCAGACUCCUACGGGAGGCAGCAGUGGGGAAUUUUCCGCAAUGGGCGAAAGCCUGACGGAGCAAGACCGCGUGGGGGAGGAAGGUUCUUGGAUUGUCAACCCCUUUUCUCAGGGAAGAACACAAUGACGGUACCUGAGGAAAAAGCAUCGGCUAACUCCGUGCCAGCAGCCGCGGUAAUACGGGGGAUGCAAAGCGUUAUCCGGAAUGAUUGGGCGUAAAGAGUCCGUAGGUAGUCAUCCAAGUCUGCUGUUAAAGAGCGAGGCUUUAACUUCGUAAAGGCAGUGGAAAACUGGAAGACUAGAGUGUAGUAGGGGCAGAGGGAAUUCCUGGUGUAGCGGUGAAAUGCGUAGAGAUCAGGAAGAACACCGGUGGCGAAGGCGCUCUGCUGGGCUAUAACUGACACUGAGGGACGAAAGCUAGGGGAGCGAAUGGGAUUAGAUACCCCAGUAGUCCUAGCGGUAAACGAUGGAAACUAGGUGUGGCCUGUAUCGACCCGGGCCGUGCCGAAGCAAACGCGUUAAGUUUCCCGCCUGGGGAGUACGCACGCAAGUGUGAAACUCAAAGGAAUUGACGGGGGCCCGCACAAGCGGUGGAGUAUGUGGUUUAAUUCGAUGCAACGCGAAGAACCUUACCAGGACUUGACAUCUCUGGAAUCUCCUUGAAAGGGGAGAGUGCCGUAAGGAACCAGAAGACAGGUGCUGCAUGGCUGUCGUCAGCUCGUGCCGUGAGAUGUUGGGUUAAGUCCCGCAACGAGCGCAACCCUCGUCGUUAGUUGCCAUCAUUAAGUUGGGAACUCUAGCGAGACUGCCGGUGUCAAACCGGAGGAAGGUGAGGAUGACGUCAAGUCAGCAUGGCCCUUACGUCCUGGGCGACACACGUACUACAAUGCGAGGGACACAGAGCAGCCAACCCGCGAGGGAGAGCGAAUCUCACAAACCCUGGCACAGUUCAGAUUGCAGGCUGCAACUCGCCUGCAUGAAGGAGGAAUCGCUAGUAAUCGCAGGUCAGCAUACUGCGGUGAAUCCGUUCCCGGGCCUUGUACACACCGCCCGUCACACCAUGGAAGUGAGCCACGCCCGAAGUCAUUACUCUAGCCCUUUCGGGGGAGGAGGGUGCCGAAGGCGGGGUUGAUGACUGGGGUGAAGUCGUAACAAGGUAACC